RNAcentral lists this long non-coding RNA (655 nucleotides) under Sorghum bicolor (sorghum). RNAcentral's name for it is "long non-coding RNA (SBIC_LNC011468)". Lineage: Eukaryota; Viridiplantae; Streptophyta; Magnoliopsida; Poales; Poaceae. The record is from RNAcentral.
UGUUGUGGUCGUGCUUCUCUCGUUCUCUGUCCUUGACGUGGUGCAAAUCCGGCGAGGGGCACCUGCGGCCGAGAUCUGGUGAGAGGGCACUGCGGUGGCGACGACACGGAGAAGCACGGCUUCCUUGCCGCCCUCGGCCUCGAUCUCCUCGUCUUUACCAUCAACCCCGCUGAAGAGGUGGCCCCAAGCCGCGCCGCCCCAGGCUGGGAUGCACGGAGGACCUGGGCGUGUGCCCGGUGGGAGGCGACGACAUGGGCUGGCCGGCGAGCGCAGAGGCGUCGUGGCGGUGGACGGUAAAGGUAUAAAUAUAGAUUUGCUCUUCUUGUUUGUAGAAAUUUAUGAAUCCAUGUUAUGUGGUCUGAUCUUGUCUCUGGUUGUCUCGAUUUAUAUCUAGAUUUGCUUCUUAUUUUUUUGGAAAUUUACGAAUCCAUGUUCUAGUGCCUUUUCCUCUGUAUUUAGAUUUGGUUUUAGAUGUCUUUGAACUUGAUGCGGAUUCAAGAGACGAAGAGAAAGCCUGCACUGGAUGCAUCCGUAUUAGAAAUUGUCAAGGUUGUAGAGUUCUGAACGGAAACUGAAGAGCCCGUGAAGUGCGCAGGCACGGUGGGGAAAAAACACGGAGAAGAGGACAGACGAAAAUUUUGCCAGACGAAAACAA